GACGAACGCUGGCGGCGUGCCUAAUACAUGCAAGUCGAGCGCAGGAAACUGACGGAACUCUUCGGAGGGAAGGCAGCGGAAUGAGCGGCGGACGGGUAAGUAACACGUAAGGAACCUGCCUCAAGGAUUGGGAUAACUCCGAGAAAUCGGAGCUAAUACCGGAUAGUUCAUCGGACCGCAUGGUCCGUUGAUGAAAGGCGCUCCGGCGUCACCUUGAGAUGGCCUUGCGGUGCAUCCGCUAGUUGGUGGGGUAACGGCCCACCAAGGCGACGAUGCAUAGCCGACCUGAGAGGGUGAUCGGCCACACUGGGACUGAGACACGGCCCAGACUCCUACGGGAGGCAGCAGUAGGGAAUCUUCCACAAUGGACGAAAGUCUGAUGGAGCAACGCCGCGUGAGUGAUGAAGGUUUUCGGAUCGUAAAACUCUGUUGUAAGGGAAGAACACGUACGAGAGGGAAUGCUCGUACCUUGACGGUACCUUACGAGAAAGCCACGGCUAACUACGUGCCAGCCGCCGCGGUAA
Molecule: ribosomal RNA, 524 nt
Filed under: uncultured bacterium
Lineage: Bacteria
Description: partial 16S ribosomal RNA
Rfam family: Bacterial small subunit ribosomal RNA
Source: RNAcentral